This 81-nucleotide small nucleolar RNA is filed under the name Erythranthe guttata (spotted monkey flower). Lineage: Eukaryota; Viridiplantae; Streptophyta; Magnoliopsida; Lamiales; Phrymaceae. The record is from RNAcentral.
GGGCAGAUGAUGAUAUUCAAUGAAUUUGUGCUUAUCAAACCAUGAAGCUAUUAAAUUCGAGCUUUUUAAAACUGAUGCCCU